RNAcentral lists this ribosomal RNA (362 nucleotides) under uncultured bacterium. RNAcentral describes it as "bacterial SSU rRNA". It matches the Rfam family "Bacterial small subunit ribosomal RNA", at positions 29 to 408 of the family's 1533-position model. The record is from RNAcentral.
AAUGAACGUUGGCGGCGUGGAUUAGGCAUGCGAGUCGUGCGAGAACCGUAGCAAUACGGGGACAGCGGCGAAAGGGAGAGGAACACGUGGAUACCUACCCUCAGGUUCAGGAUAGCUAUGGGAAACUAUAGGUAAUACUGAAUAAUAUCUCCGGAUCAAAGGUGUGAUUCCGCCGGAGGAGGGGUCCGCGUCCUAUUAGCUAGUUGGUGAGGUAAUGGCUCACCAAGGCGAAGAUGGGUACGGGAUGUGAGAGCAUGAUCCCGCUCAUUGGGACUGAGACACUGCCCAGACACCUACGGGUGCUGCGGUCGAGAAUCUUCGGCAAUGGGGGAAACCCUGACCGAGCGACGCCGCGUGUGAGA